CGGGGUGCACCAGGCGCGAAAACUUUACAAUGCUGGCAACAGCGAUAAGGGGACCUCGAGUGCCAGGUUACAAAUCUGGCUGUCGUGAUGCCUAAAAAGCAUUGCAUAGCAAGGGCCGGGCAAGACCGGUGCCAGCCGCCGCGGUAACACCGGCGGCUCGAGUGGUAACCGUUAUUAUUGGGUCUAAGGGGUCUGUAGCCGGCCGGAUAAGUCUCUUGGGAAAUCCAGCAGCUCAACUGUUGGGCUUUCAGGAGAUACUGUCUGGCUCGAGGCCGGGAGAGGUGAGAGGUACUUCAGGGGUAGGGGUGAAAUCUUGUAAUCCUUGAAGGACCACCAGUGGCGAAGGCGUCUCACCAGAACGGACCUGACGGCAAGGGACGAAAGCUAGGGGCACGAACCGGAUUAGAUACCCGGGUAGUCCUAGCCGUAAACGAUACUCGCUAGGUGUCGGCCACGGUGCGACCGUUGUCGGUGCCGUAGGGAAGCCGUGAAGCGAGCCACCUGGGAAGUACGGCCGCAAGGCUGAAACUUAAAGGAAUUGGCGGGGG
RNAcentral lists this ribosomal RNA (548 nucleotides) under uncultured archaeon. RNAcentral's name for it is "bacterial SSU rRNA". It matches the Rfam family "Archaeal small subunit ribosomal RNA", at positions 326 to 874 of the family's 1478-position model. The record is from RNAcentral.